UUAAGUUAAUAAGGGCGCACGGUGGAUGCCUUGGCACUAGGAGCCGACGAAGGACGUGACAAACGACGAUAUGCCUUGGGUAGCUGUAAGUAAGCGAUGAUCCAGGGAUUUCCGAAUGGGGGAACCCAACAGGUAAUACCUGUUACCUACAUCUGUUAAGGAUGUGAGGAGGAAGACGCAGUGAACUGAAACAUCUAAGUAGCUGCAGGAAGAGAAAGCAAAAGCGAUUGCCUUAGUAGCGGCGAGCGAAACGGCAGAAGGGCAAACCGAAGAGUUUACUCUUCGGGGUUGUAGGACUGCAAUGUGGACUCAAAGAUUAUAGAAGAAUGAUUUGGGAAGAUCAGCCAAAGAGAGUAAUAGCCUCGUAUUUAAAAUAGUCUUUGUACUUAGCAGUAUCCUGAGUACGGCGGGACACGUGAAAUCCCGUCGGAAUCUGGGAGGACCAUCUCCCAACCCUAAAUACUCCCUAGUGACCGAUAGUGAACCAGUACCGUGAGGGAAAGGUGAAAAGCACCCCGGGAGGGGAGUGAAAUAGAACCUGAAACCGUGUGCCUACAACAAGUUCGAGCCCGUUAAUGGGUGAGAGCGUGCCUUUUGUAGAAUGAACCGGCGAGUUACGUUAUGAUGCGAGGUUAAGUUGAAGAGACGGAGCCGUAGGGAAACCGAGUCUGAAUAGGGCGCCUUAGUAUCAUGACGUAGACCCGAAACCAUGUGACCUACCCAUGAGCAGGUUGAAGGUGCGGUAAGACGCACUGGAGGACCGAACCAGGGCACGUUGAAAAGUGCUUGGAUGACUUGUGGGUAGCGGAGAAAUUCCAAACGAACUUGGAGAUAGCUGGUUCUCUCCGAAAUAGCUUUAGGGCUAGCGUCGACAUUAGAGAUUCUUGGAGGUAGAGCACUGUUUGGGUGAGGGGUCCAUCCCGGAUUACCAAUCUCAGAUAAACUCCGAAUGCCAAUGAAUUAUGGUCGGCAGUCAGACUGCGAGUGCUAAGAUCCGUAGUCGAAAGGGAAACAGCCCAGACCACCAGCUAAGGUCCCAAAAUAAUUGUUAAGUGGAAAAGGAUGUGGGGUUGCACAGACAACUAGGAUGUUAGCUUAGAAGCAGCUAUUCAUUCAAAGAGUGCGUAAUAGCUCACUAGUCGAGUGACCCUGCGCCGAAAAUGUACCGGGGCUAAAACAAUUUACCGAAGCUGUGGAUACCUUUAUAGGUAUGGUAGGAGAGCGUUCUAUGUGUGAUGAAGGUAUACCGUGAGGAGUGCUGGAACGCAUAGAAGUGAGAAUGCCGGUAUGAGUAGCGAAAGACAGGUGAGAAUCCUGUCCACCGUAAGACUAAGGUUUCCAGGGGAAGGCUCGUCCGCCCUGGGUUAGUCGGGACCUAAGGAGAGACCGAAAGGUGUAUCCGAUGGACAACAGGUUGAUAUUCCUGUACUAGAGUAUGUAGUGAUGGAGGGACGCAGUAGGCUAACUAAAGCAGACGAUUGGAAGAGUCUGUCUAAGCAGUGAGGUGUGAAUUGAGUCAAAUGCUUAAUUCUAUAACAUUGAGCUGUGAUGGGGAGCGAAGUUUAGUAGCGAAGUUAGUGACGUCACACUGCCAAGAAAAGCUUCUAGCGUUUAAACAUACUCUACCCGUACCGCAAACCGACACAGGUAGUCGAGGCGAGUAGCCUCAGGUGAGCGAGAGAACUCUCGUUAAGGAACUCGGCAAAAUGACCCCGUAACUUCGGGAGAAGGGGUGCUGACUUAAAGUCAGCCGCAGUGAAUAGGCCCAAGCAACUGUUUAUCAAAAACACAGCUCUCUGCUAAAUCGUAAGAUGAUGUAUAGGGGGUGACGCCUGCCCGGUGCUGGAAGGUUAAGAGGAGUGCUUAGCGUAAGCGAAGGUAUGAAUUGAAGCCCCAGUAAACGGCGGCCGUAACUAUAACGGUCCUAAGGUAGCGAAAUUCCUUGUCGGGUAAGUUCCGACCCGCACGAAAGGUGUAACGAUUUGGGCACUGUCUCAACCAGAGACUCGGUGAAAUUAUAGUACCUGUGAAGAUGCAGGUUACCCGCGACAGGACGGAAAGACCCCGUGGAGCUUUACUGUAGCCUGAUAUU
RNAcentral lists this ribosomal RNA (2092 nucleotides) under Streptococcus pneumoniae. Its description in RNAcentral is "bacterial LSU rRNA". It matches the Rfam family "Bacterial large subunit ribosomal RNA", at positions 3 to 2118 of the family's 2925-position model. Lineage: Bacteria; Bacillati; Bacillota; Bacilli; Lactobacillales; Streptococcaceae. The record is from RNAcentral.